RNAcentral lists this long non-coding RNA (28904 nucleotides) under Capsicum annuum. RNAcentral's name for it is "long non-coding RNA (CANN_LNC014704)". Lineage: Eukaryota; Viridiplantae; Streptophyta; Magnoliopsida; Solanales; Solanaceae. The record is from RNAcentral.
UUUGUGGUGAAAUGGUUACCUGCCGAGGCGCCGACAGGGUUUAAGGAUAUCUACUAGAUAUCGAAGGCUGUGCUAGCAGGUUAGUCCUUGUUUCGAAAUAAUUGAAUUAUUGGAGUAAUUUUUUUUUAAAAAAUUAUUUUUAUGAUUUGAUAAUCAAUUAAUUUUAAAAAGGUAUUAUAAGAUGAUUUUUAUUUAUUUUUAGGUAAAAAUAAAAAAUUAUGUUAAAUUUAUAUCUUUAAUAGUUUUUUCUUAAUAAGUGUGUCAAAAUUCAACAAUCUAUUUAUUAUGAAACGGAGAAAGUAUUUUUUAGUUUCAAUUUAUAUAAUAUGAAUAAAAUUUUGUAAUUAAUUAUAUUUUAAAUAUUUUAAGUUGUUAGCUAUUGUAAUUUAUAAUAAUUUUUUGACAUUGUAAUUUACUAUUUUAAGUAGUUAGCCAUUAUAAUUUAUAAUACUCACCUUGUCCAAAGUUUCGUAGCAUUGAUAAUCUAUUAUAUUUUAAAAAUAAUUUAAGUUUUUAAUUACUGAAAUUUAUAAUAUUUUUUCUUCUAUUUCAAUUUAAGUGACACUGAUAUAAUUUCGAGAGUCAAUCGAAUAUCGCGAUUGAAGUUCCGAAGUAGACAUGUCUUAAAUGACUCAUAAUAACUUAUUAGAAGUGAUACAAUAAAAUUAUUAUAAAAAAUAGUUGUGAAAAAAAUUUAAGAGGGUAUCAUAUAAGUCGUCAAGUUAAUUUAAAACAUCAAGUGCUAAUUUUUAUUUUAUAUCUAUUUUAUCCAUUUUAUUAAAUAUUAUUAAUUUUUUAAUACUUAGAUGACUUAUAAUUAAUUAAGGGUGAUAUGGUAAAAUUACGGUUGAAAAAAUUGAAGCAAACAUGUCAUAAAUAUCUAUUUUAUUUUUUUUUAUUAAUUUUUUAAUACGUAAAUGACAUAUAAUAACCAAUUAGGAAAUAACUUAUUAGAAGUGGUAUAACAAAAUUAAUAUAAAAAUAGUUGUGAAAAAAAUUUAGAGAGACCUUAUAUAAGAUGUCAAAUUAAUUUAAAACUUCAAUAGUUAAAUAUUAUUAAUUUUUUUAAUACUUAAAUGACUUAUAGUAAUUGAUUAGGGAUGAAAUAAUUAAAUUAUGGUUAGAACAACUGAAGCAGACAUGUUAUAAAUGUGUAUUUUAUUUUUUGUUAAAUAUUUUAAAUUUUUAAUACUUAAAUGACAUAUAAAAUUAAUUAGGGGUGAUAUAGUAAAAUCACGGAUUAAUACUUAAAUGACCUAUAGUAAUUAAUUAGGGAUGAAAUAGUAAAAUUACGGUUGAAGCAGCUGAAGCAGACAUGUCAUAAAUGUCUAUUUUAUAUUUUUAUUAAAUAUUAUUAAUUUUUUAAUACCUAAAUAACAUAUAAUAAUUAAUUAGGGGUGAUAUGGUAAAAUCACGAAGAAAACAGACAUAACGACCGCCUUCGGCUUCCAAGCCUCUUCUAUAUAUUAGAAUAUGUGUGCCAAGGAUUUCAGUAAAAUGAUUCUCCUCCUUUUAGAAAGUAAGGCCGUUUAGCCAUGAAAAUAAUAUUAGUAAUUUUUUAGAGUUAGAAGUUGGAGUUCAAGUUGAAGUUCUAAAAUUUUGUGAGAAAAGUAUGAGUGCAAAAAAGUAAAAUAAUUACUUUGUGUCAAAAAGAAUAAGUUACUUUAACUUGACACAAAGUUUAAGAAAUUAAAAAAAAAAAUGAAUCUUGUGAUCUUAAAUUAAAGUUGUAUCAAAUGUAUCAAAAUGUCUUUUAAUUUUGUGGUCCUAAAUAUGUCAUAUGUAAAGUUGACAUUAUAGUAUUGCUAAAAAGGGAGAGGGUCUAUCUUUUUGAAAUAAACUAAAAAAAUAGAUCAUUCUUUUUUAAAUGGAGGAAAAAAAACUUAUUUUCACUUUUCCAAAUACAAUUUAGAAAUUAUAAUUUUUUAAAUCAGGUGUCAAUAAUGUAAAACUACCAGCACAGUCUAUGAGUCAAAUACAUCAUAAAACCAACAGGGAUAAUGUCUGUCUCUGAAUGCUAGUAAGGACAUAGACUGAUAUAGAAAGAUAGAAAUAGACCCCAGACGCAAGCAAGUCCAACCGCCACCUUGGAUACUUUGACGGUUCUCGAAAUCAAAUCAUGUGAGGUGCAUCCGAACUGAAAUCUACACCAGAAGGGUACACUAGGAGUGAGUGUGGUCUACCUUUACUCAAUAGGUAUCAUAGGUCGACCGAGCAAAGUAGAAAAUAAAGCAUACAAAAUAUAUACUAAAGGUACGUGACCUGCAAUCAGAAAUGUCUCAUAACGGUAGCUCACAUCACGUGUACUAACAGUUCUAGUAUACAUAUCUCAUAUAUUGCAACAACACAACCAAGUAGAAUACAAGUAUACAUCAUAUCACAUACAAGUAGGGAUAAGGAAGAACAUGCACAUAUAAAAUUGUCAAGUACAACUAACGGAAGAUAGCACAAAUAAGAUAAGAUAAGUUAAGAUGACAAUUCUAACACAACAUAAACACAAUAAGGUAAGUUCUAUAAGAUGAUGAUGAUGAUGAUAAUGAUAAUGAUAAUGAUGAAGCACGAGGUCGUCGCACAACCUCUGUAUACAUCUACGGAGGCAAGCCUCCCAACGUGGGACCUAUUGGAGAUUCAUCGACCCAUAUACAAUCCAUAAUUCAUAUCCAUAUCUCCUUCCCGACACAUUCCUCGAAAAGAAUUUUAUAAGGUGUUUCAAUAUCUACUCUCCAAUACAUCCCUUGGAGAGGGUUUUAUAAAAGAUGUUGCCAGUAUUUCUCACGUGUUGCCAUAGUAGUACCAUUUAUUUCAUGAAUGAGCGUGAUGUGAGGAUGUAAUACCCACAAUCAGUCACAAUGAGUAUUUGCACAAUCAACUACAAUGAUAUAUUUCCACAAUUAAUCGCAAUGUUACAUUUCCACAACUAUGUGAGCUAAUAUCCACUCAUUAUUUUUGUUCAUCCAUGAAUUUUCACAUAUUUCAUAUGCCAACAAGUAUGAAUAUAUCACAAUAUGUCAAAAGUACCACAAAAAGAUAUUUUCAACAGCAUAAUACAGUUACUUACAUGUAUUUUAGGCUAUCAACAUGACAUAGGAUUGCACACAGUCAUACAUAUCGCAUAAUAUUUCAAAAUCAAUAAUUACUUCACACAUAGGCCCCCACAUGGGCACAACACAGAUAGACAUUUAUCAUAAUUAGUUUCCACCCUUGUAUUUUGUAUCAAUAUUUACUACCCAACCCAAUCUGAAAGAGUUAAGUCAUAACCAUUUCAAAGGCUGAAAUCGGUCUGCAACACUUCAACCACAAAGCCCUACUUCUCAUGAAUGGUAUGGAAAUCAACUAAAACCAAGAAAUACAGAAUUAUGAGUCAAAACAAAGCUAACAAUGCCCAUAUUGCCCACUUUUGAUUCGGGAUCAAAACGGAUCUCCGAAAUUGAUUUUUAAAAAGAAGAUCAAAAUCAUAACUUUACUUCAAAAACUUGUUCCCCAUACCUUUAGAUAUCUACAGCUAAAAAAUCAAGUCAAAUGAAGUAAAAAACGAGGUUCAAAUCGAAGAAAAAUUAUUUUGAAAAUUACCGGGUAAAACCUUUGAAAUCUGUUUUAAAAUCAAGAAUUGAAGUUGUUUGUACGAUAAAAUUGGAGAAAAUUAGUAAAUUAUAGAAUUAAGAAUAUUAUUCAAGUGAAAAGAUUUAGAAUUUAGGACUAAAUUAAGUACCAAGGUUUUAGGGUUUUUGAACAAUUAAUCAAGAAACUUGAUAAAGAAAAGGGUGAAUUCUCACCUUAAAUCCGUAAGAGAAUCAAGAAUUAGAUGUUAAUCUAGCUUUCCAAACACCCACAAACUUCACUUUUAAGCUCUCACUCUAUUUUAGGGUUUAACUCUCAAAAGGCAAGAUGAAAAAUGAGCAAAAAAAGGUUAUUUAUACUCAUACCAGGUUACCAGGUACAUAAGGCAUAACUACACAUUCCUCAAAUGAGUUUUACCUUUUGUGAUUCAGGUUGCACCAGCAACCUCGUGCACCAGAUUUUCUUAGUCCAAAUCGGACUUUGAUGGGGUGCCCGAGAUUUGUUCGAAAUCUAAUAUACGCAACCAAACUAUGUAACCACACUAAAUUUGACGCUCCAGACUCAAUGGUGAUAUCAGAAUUUCAAAAGAAAUAUUAUUUUCACAAAAUCAAUCUCCAAAAUUUAAAAUCACAAUAUUCCAAAUCGAGGAUCAAAAUAAGAUUAAGAGUCACAAAACCACACCAACUGUGUUAGCACCCUAAAAUCGAUGUUCCAGAUUUGCUGGCGCAGUCCGUUCAGCCAUCUAUUGCACGGAUCAAAAGAUAACCACAGAAGUUCAAAAUAAGGCUUUGAAAGCCACCAAAAACCACAAUAUCACAUAAAUGGUACCAAAAUGCAUAGAAAAUUGUGUCAAUCACUCCCACACUCUAGAAAUAUCACAAUGCAACUAUGGGGAGGAGUAAAAUUAUCAAAUUACACAAAAUCAUAAAUUUUACAUAUUUCAUCAAAUUUCAGGUCAUUACAUCAUCCACCACUAAAAAUAUAUUUCAUCUUUAAACUAAAGGCAAAAGAAAUACCUGAAUCCACAAAGAGCUGGGAAUAAGAACUGCAUAUAUCAAACUGAACCUCCCAAGUAGCUUCAUCUAUAGGUCGAUUUUUUCACUGAACCUUAACAAUAGGGAUAACUCCAAAACACAACUAUCUAAUAUCCCUAGCCAAUAUGGAGACUGGUUCCUCAAUGAAAGACAACCACUCAUAUAACUAAAUCGACUCCUAAUGAAUGACAUGAAACUCAUCCAAAAUGUAAUGGUGAAGCAUAGAAACAUAAAACUAGAUGAACAACUGAUAAAUUUGGAGGCAAAGCUAACUUAUAAGCCACAUUACCAAUAGUUUGAAGAAUCUCAAAUGGACCAAUAUACCUGGGCUAAGCUUGUCCCUCUUCCCAAACCUCAUCACACCCUUCAUGGGUGUAACUCAAAGGAAAAUAUAUCACCAACCCUAAAUCUCAAGGCAUGAAAACUAAUACGAUCACCAACCCCAAAUCUCAAGAAAUGAAGACUAUGAUCUGCAUAGCACUUUUGCCUACUCUGAGCUGCUCUAAGUCUAUCUUGAAUAAUUCGGACUGUCUAAAGACUCAUGAAGCAAGUCAAUACCUCGAGGUCUCACCUCUGAAACAUCAAACCAGCCCAUUAGAGAGAGACAACACCUACCAUACAAUUCCUCAAAAGGAUUCAUAUCGAUACUGAAAUGGUAGCUAUUAUUAUAUGAAAAUUCUGCUAAAUCCAAAUACUGCUCCCACUGGCCACUAAAAUUCAUCAUACAAGCGUGGAGCAUAUCCUCCAAAACCUCAAUAGUCCGCUCUGAUUGAUCGUCAGUAUAGGGGUGAAACGCUAUGCUAAGAUCAACCCGAGUACCCAAAUCAUCCUGAAAAAUCUUCCAAAAGUGAGAUGUGAACACUAAAUCUCGAUCCAAAAUGAUAGACACUGCACACUCUCUUGGGUAAAGAAAGGCUAAGGUUUCAUGUAGAGGAUCAAUUUGGAACUUGUACGAGUAAUUUCUCUCCAUCAUCUUCGUAAUCUAAGGCAUGUAUUCCUUCCUCAUUGUUAGUUCCAACUAAAGGCAUGUUUUAUACAAUGUUUUCAUGGCAUGAUUAUUAUAUGAUUUUGGGGUUUUCAAAUCUAUAUUGGAGUUUUGGUAUUAAAUGUUUGGUUAUGGUUUUUCCAUAUUUCAAUUAUGUAAUUACAUGGUCUAAUGGUGGUUUGGACAAUUGGUUGUAUGGGAAUGGUUAAUUGGUAACUAAAAUUGGUUUUGGGAAACACUUUGCCCCCAACAUGUUUGAUAAAAUGCCUACGAUAAUAUUUUUACUAUACUGUUGGACUUUUAAUGGAACUAUUGCAUGGUGUGGUUUUGUAAUUGAACACUAAAUGGUAUAAAUGGUUUGGAAUGGUUAAAUGAUAAGGUUUGAUGGUCAUGGUUAUGGUUAAUUAAACUUUCUUAUGGGGUACAAGGGAAUCCCCCAAGUAAACAUGGUAAUGAACAUCUUAUGGGGUACACGGGAUUUCCUUAAGCAAACCUAAUAAUGGAACACUUAUGGGGUAUAUGGGAUUUCCCUAAGUUAACUUGAUGAUGUAAUCUAUGGGUACCUGAGAAUCUUUUUACAUAAAAAGGUUGGCUAAAGACAUUGUUUGCAAGCUAUAGUUGGUAUGACGAUACCACUACUCAUAGCCAGGGCUAGUAAUAAUAGACUAAUGGUUUGGUUUGAUAGUAAUGGUUUUAAUCGGCGGGGUAUGAUAGCUAACCAUGAAGGAGCGAGUCUAAUAGAAGGACACUGGAAACUUAUGUUUGCCGACAUAAAGGUUGGUCAUAGUGUAACACCCCAAAAUUUGAUUUUUGGGAGGCCACACGGUGGUCCGAACUAUAAGUAGUCCUGAGCUAACCCUGGCUGCCUUAUACUAAAUCUGAAUCUCAAAAUAAGGGAAUAUGAAUGUAAGAUCAAAAUAAAUGUGGAAAACUAUCUGAAUUAUCUAAGUAUAUCAAAAAAUACUAAUCUCAUCGGUAUGAUAAAGAAAAUACUAAAAAUCUAAAUACUGCAACAAAAAUCUAAAAUUGAAUCUAGUAAUCCGAUAAGCCUCUACUGACUGAAUCUAGAGAGUCACUGGGACAGGCCUUAGCUGACUCAAACUGUCUGAAAUGAAUACUAAAUCAUCUACUGAUAAACUGGAAAUCUGAAAAGCUAAGUCCCCGAACUAUGAGGACUCACCAACUACAGAGAUAUAGAUGAGAUGCUCGAACAUCACUCAUGCCACUGAGACUGAGUACUUGAACCUAUAUUAUGAGACAAUGCAACACAUAGACUAUAUGUACAAUGUAACACAUAGACGUAUAUGUGGAUCAGUACUUUGGGAAUGUAUUAAGCAUAUGAGGGUGAAUGCAAUAAGUCAAACAAUACUUCAAUAGCAUCACAAGUUAUAAAAUCAUGCAUGCGAAACGUAAAGGACUCACAUAGGAUUGAGUAAUUUGAAAUCUGAAGAUCAUAAAUCUUGAAUAGUAAAACAUAUAAUGUAAAUCUUGUGAGUCACAACACUUAGUUAUAAAAUCUGUAUUUUGUUCUUAUACUCAAAUGCAUAGGCUAAGUGAAAUCUGUAAAUCUGUAUCUAAAGGCUUAUAUAAAGCAAUAUCUGAGUAAAUCUGUGAGCCUUUACAAUUAGUUUCAAAAAUCUGUCCUUUUUUAAAAGCUAUAUUUUAAAUUCAAGAACUUUAGAGAUGUAGAGAAAAUACUUUAUCUUAGGGGUUUAGAAAUAUGAAAACUUAUUCUGAAUGGGAGGUUUUUCUAACCGACAUAAACCAUGUGAGCAUUUAUGGAGUCCAACGUUCUUGUCCCCCUAAGGAGCAAUCCUCACGUUGGGAGAGGAGUCAUACUCUUACUAGGGAGUAUAACCUAUCUAAGUGAUCGCAUAUCUAUCAUCCAUGUAGAAGUGAAAAAAAUCUAAAUCCUACGUUGGCACAUAGUUCUGGGGUAUGAAACCGCAGUAACGUACCCAUCUCGGUGCUAAAUGCUACUCCUAUUAAAUCUGUAUGCUCAUUCUGAUGGAAAUCCACUUUUAAAAUAGUAUAAUGAUUUAUAAUGAAAACCAACUAUAUGUCUGAAAAGCUAAAUCUGUAAUUAGAAUCUGUAAAGUGGAUUUCAUUCUGUUUUGAGACCAAAAGGGGUCAAAUCUUUAACAAUAAUCUAAAAAAAGAAAUCUAGUCAUAGGGUGCUUAUAACCAACAAAUCUUGAAAGAGCAAUCUUUAAUUAGGCUUUAAUGACCCAUGCAUCAAACUCAUGUUAAAAUAUCAUAAUGUUCAUGCUUGAUAAUGUAAACAUUGAUAAAUAAAUUCAAAAUCUGGAAAUUUCUGCAAUAUGUAUGAAAAUAUGAACAUAAUCAUGUAAUUCAACUUUCAAAUCACUGAAAAUCUUAUAAACUUAUAAAUAACAAUAAUGGGUAUAAACCCUAACUUGAAUUUCAUGGGAAAUCAUAUAAAAUUCAGUAAAAAUUGGAAUUAAAAUAAGUUUUGGGCACAAGGAUGAAAGGAUUGUCCUUAUUCAUAACCCCACAUACCUCAAUUGAUGAACUAGUUGCAAAGGCUUGAAUCUUAGAUCCCCUAUUGAUGCUUUUAAAGUUGAAUAUUCAUUCAUCUUGACAUUCUCAAUGCUAAAUUAAACUAUGAAAAGUAUGGGGUGUUACAAUAUCUCCCCUUUGAUAAUAUUCAUCCUCGAAUGUGGCUAGUUCGACUAAGGACACUGAUGAAUCUAAGGCUAUAUAGUAGCAUGCACAACUGAAACAAAUUGCAUAACUAAUUCUAAAUUAUACUAAGCUUCUAAGCUAAUCUGUGAGAGCAUGAAUUUUCAAUGAGGACGACUAUAUAGCUGAAUCUGAAACUGGAAAGAUACUAAAUUAAGGAAGAGUAUAACCUUCGAUUGAAUCUUAUUUUGCGGAGAAGAGGUGAGGGUACUUCGCUCGCAUAUCUGCUUCUAUUUCCCAAGUGGCGUCCUCAACAAAAUAAUAUUUCCAAAGAACUUUGACCAAGAAAACUUCUUUGUUCCUUAGUCUACGGAUCUGAUGAUCUAAAAUCUCAACUGGAAUCUCUUCGUAAGAAAGGUUGUUCUAAAUAUCUGAGCUUUCUAAAGGAACUAUAACAGGGGAGUCACCGAUGUACCUUUAAGCAUAGUGAUAUGGAAUACAGGAUGAAUGAACGACAAGUCUGCGGGCAAAUCAAGCUCAUAAGCUACUUUCCCAACACGACUCACUGUUGUGUAAGGGCAAACAUACCGGGGACUAAGCUUCCUCUUUUUGCCAAAUCUCCUCACCCCUUUCAUAGAUCUUCAGAUACACUAAAUCACCAACCUCAAACUCGAGGUCCUUUAUUCUCACAUCUGCAUAUGAUUUUUGACGACUCUUGGCUAUUUUCAAUCUGUCUCUAAUCAAUUGAACCUUCUCCAUAGCUUCAAACACUACGUCAGGUAGGGGUGUUCAUGGGUCGGUUUGGAUUGAUUAUUGGUCAAAACCAUAACCAAACCAACAUAGUUGAUUUUUAAAUUUAUAAAGCCAAACCAAACCAAGACAAAAAAAUAAUCGUCAGUUUGGUUCUUGUCGGUUUAGUUCGGUUCGGUUUGGUUUUUCGGUUUAUAACUUUAGUUAAUGAUAAAAGUUGAAAUUUUUCUUAAAAAAUCCAAUCUAACAUAUGAGAUGUCAACCGAGUGUUGUUCCUCAACCUUGAAACUAAGAUGUCAAUUUGGUGUUAUCCUUAGGCAAAGCCAUGAACAACACCAUAUGAAUGCUUCUACAAAAGUAUUUAGAAACUACAUAUAAGAGAAUAAUAUUAUAAACCCCCCAAAAGCUAAACACAUAAAUUUUUUGCUCAAUAGGGACCAAAAAGAAAGUUCAAAACUAGUGAUUAUCGAUAGUCUAAUAAAACUCACCUAUAAAAUCCGAUAGACAACAGGAUAAUUUUCACAAUUAGUAUUAUUUGCCAUUCAAAGUGCGAAAAUCAUAUACAAACUCAUAACGUACAUCAACUUGAUGGAGACAUAUGACUAAAGUUAAAUUCAUGAUUAAAACUUAAAAUAUAAAUAAUAUUUAUAUUUUAUUUAUGAAUAAUAUAUAAAUAAUUUAUAUAUGCAUAUGUAUUUGUGUGUGUAUACAUAUAUAUACAUAUAUAUGUAUAUAUAUAUAUAUAAAUUAUCAGUUCGGUUUGGUUAUUUUAUCAGUUAUUUUAGAGUAAAACCAAAACCAAACCACAUAUGUAUCGAUUUUAAAAAUUUAAAACCAAACCAAACCAAAUCUAACCAAAUGUCAGUUUUUGUAAUUGGUUUGAUUUUGUUCGUGGUUCGAUUUGGUUUUUAACCAAACCAUGAACACCCAUAGCACCAGGCCCAAGCAAAGCGGCCUCACCCACUUCAAACUAACCUAUAGGUGAUCUAUAUAUCCUUCCAUAAAGGGCCUCAAACGGGGCCAUUUGUAUGCUAGAAUGGUAACUGUUAUUAUAAGGGAAAUCAAUCAAUGGUAAAUACUCAUCCCAACUACCUUUGAAAUCAAGGGCACAUUCUCUCAACAUAUCUUCUAGAGUUUGGAUGGUCCUCUCUGCUUGACCAUCUGUCUGAGGGUGGAAAGUUAAAAUAAGAUGGACUUGGGUACCAACACCCUCCUGAAAGGCUCUCCAAAACUGGAAAGUGAACUGAGUACCCCUAUCUGAAAUGAUAGACAAGGGAACUCCAUACAGUCUGACUAACUCUUGAUGUACAACUUAGCAUAAUCUUCAGCUGUGUAAGAUGUGUGAACUGGCCAGAAAUUCGCUGACUUAGUCAAUUUCUCUACAAUAACCCAAAUCGAAUUAUGUUAAAGAUACGAAUAAGGUAAACCAGUCACAAAAGCCAUAUUUACCUCUUCCCACUUUCAAAUGGGGAUACCAAACUUUUGUAACAUACCACCAGGUCUUUGGUUCUCUACCUUAACCUGUUGACAAGUUGCAUACUUUACUACAAACUCUGCUAUAUCUUUCUUCAUACCACUCCACCAAUAGAUUUCUCGCAAAUCGUAGUACAUCUUGGUAGCACCUGGAUGAAUAAAAUAACGCGCACCAUGCACUUCCGCCAUAAUCCGCUGUCUCAGAUCAUCAACACAUGGCACAAACAGUUUACUCUGGUAUCUCAACACGCCAUCUCCCCCUUGGGAGAAAAUAUUUACCUUUCGGUCUUUAACUGACUCCUUCACUUUGGCCAAACUAGAAUCCUUGUCUUGCUUCUCCUUCACUUCCAAAACUAGGGAAGAUUCGGAACUACUCUGAACCCAAAUAUUCCCUUCAGCUGAAUCAACCAACCUAACACCCAAUCUAGCCAAACGAUGAACUUCUUGAGCUAACUCUUUCUUAUCGUUCUCCACAUGAGCAACACUGCCAAUAGACAAUCUACUAAGGGUGCCUACCACUACAAUGGCUUGCCCAAAUGGUACAACAUACUCAUGUCAUAAUUUUUCAACAAUUCUAACCACCUUCUCUGAUAGAGAUUUAACCCUCUCUGGGUAAACACAUACUACAAACUUUUGUAAUCCGUGAACAAAUCAACAUGCACCCCAUAUAAAUAAUAUCUCCAGAUUUUUAAAGCAAACACAAUAGCAGCUAAUUCAAGAUCAUGGGUGGGACAAUUCUUUUCAUGAGGCUUAAGCUAUCUAAAGGCAUAGGCUAUGACCUUACCUCUCUGCAUCAGAACACAACCCAAACCAACUCUAGAGGCAUCACAAUACACCACAAAAUCAUCUGUACCAUCAGGUAAUGCUAACACUGGGUUGAAGUGAGUCGAGUCUCCAACUCCUGAAAACUCUUCUCGCAGGAAUCUAACCACAAGAACUUAACUUUCUUUGGGGUCAAUCUAGACAUAGGGGAUGCAAUAGAUGAGAAACCCUCAACAAAAUGUCUGUAAUAUCCAGCUAAACCCAAGAAACUCCUAAUGUCUGGCGGAGAAAUGGGUCUAGGCAAAUUUCUUAUGGCUUCUGUCUUUUGGGGAUCAACUCUAAUGCCAUCGGCAGAAAUAAUAUGACCGAGAAAGGCUACUGAUCUUAGCCAAAAUUCACACUUGCUAAAUUUGGCGAACAAUUGAUUAUCUCUAAGAGUUUGCAAGACAAUUCUAAGAUAAUCUACAUGGUCAUCCUCACUAUGGGAGUACACAAGGAUAUCAUUUAUGAAUACUAUGACAAAUAUGUUUAGAUACUAUUUGAACACUCAGUUUAUGAGGUCUAUAAAAGCUGUUGGGGCAUUGGUUAGCUCGAAAGACAUGACUAGAAACUCAAAAUGACCAUAACGGGUUCUGAAAGCUGUCUUUGUAAUAUCACAUUCUCUUACUUUAAGCUGAUAAUAGCCGGAUCUAAGGUCUAUCUUUGAGAAAUAACUUGCACCUUGGAGUUGAUCAAAUGGGUCAUCAAUUCUAGGAAGAGGGUAUUUGGUCUUGACUGUGACCUUAUUUAACCGACGAUAGUCAAUGCACAUUCGCAAAGAACUAUCUUUCUUUCGCACAAAUUGGACGGGCGCACCCCAUGGAGAAACACUAGGCCUUAUGAAACCUUUAUCUAAAAGAUCUUUGAGUUGGUCUUUUAACUCUUUAAGCUCUGCGGGAGCCAUAUGAUAUGGAGGGAUAAAACUAGGUUGAGUAUCUGGGAAAAGGUCAAUACCGAAUUCUAUUUUCCUAUCGAGAGGUACCCCUGCAAAUCUUUGGAAAAGACAUUAGGAAACUCACUGACUACACUGACUGACUGAAUUGUUAGAGUCUUUGACUUAGUGUCUUUAACUUGAAUAAGAUGAUAGAUACACCCUUUAGAGAUUAACGUUCUAGAUUUAAGAUAAGAUGUGAAAUGUCUUUUGGGAGACACUGAAUUUUCUUUCCACUGAAAGACUGGCUCAUCUGGUAACUGAAACUUCACCACUUUGGUGUAACAAUCUAUGGAUGCAUAAUAGGAAUGGAGCCAAUCCAUACCAAGAAUAAGAUUAAAAUCAACUAUAUCUAACUCUAUUAGGUCUGCUAACGCAAUUUUAUGAAGGACAGUGAUAGGACACUUUCUGUAAAUCUGCUUGGCAACAACUGACUCACCUACUGGGGUGAAUCAAGAAAGGCUCAGGGAUCUUUUUAGAACUUACCUCAAAAUUUAUUGUAACUAAUGAGGUCACAUAAGAGAAAAUCGACCCAGGGUCUAGCAACACAUAAACAUCAAAAUUAAAAACACGAAGCAUAUCAGUAAUAAUAUCUAGUGAAUCUUUCUACUCCUGGCAGGAUGGUAAAACAUAAAACCUAUUCUAGCACUGACCGCUACCAGUACUAGAUGAUGCACCCUGGGGAGGGAAGGGGCGACCUAGAGUGGCUGGUGCACUAUUAACCUAAGUUUUAGGAUGAACAUCUCUAUUUCUCUGUCUAGUAUGCGGGCACUUUUUAACCCCGUGACCCAGCUGGCCACAACCAUAACAACCUUUUUUACCCCACAAAUAUUCACCCGCAUGAUUCUUACCACACUUAACACAUGGCGGAUGAUUGGGCUUUCUACUCACACUAUUUUGAGAUCUGGACAUGGACGAUCUAUCCCACUGCUCCUGUCUAUUCCUGAGUGUGGGGGCACUGGCUGAAGAAGGUGCAGGCAUAGAUGGCUAAUUCUGAAACUGCGAACGAUUUUGUCCUCCAAACCUAUUCUGACCAUAAUCAAACUGCCCUAUCCUAGCUUUCUUGUUUCCCCUCUCUCUGCCCUUCAACCUUUCUGCCUUUAUCUGUUGGGCAUAAAUAAUCAACCUAGAAAGAUCCAUGUCCCCAAUAAGUAUCUCAGUCCUACACUCCUUAACUACCAACCCAGAUACACCAGUCAUAAACUUACUCAUGUUUGACCUAGGGUCAACCAUCUGACCAGAGGCAUACUUAGACAACUAUUUGAACUUGAGACAAUACUCCUUCACUAUCAUUGAGCCUUGCCUCAGGUUUAUAAACUCUUUUAUCUUGUCUUUCCUCAUCUCACAUGGAAAGAACUUAUCUAGAAAUGCAUCCUAAAAUACCUGCCAUGACAUGGGAGUUGCAUUCUCCCCUCUACUUUUCUUCCACAUCACAACCCAAUUCUAUGCAACAUCCUUUAGCCUAUAGGAUGGCAACUCUACACUUUCCUCGUCAGAAAUAUGCAUAAUAUGGGUGAUCUCCUUCACUUCAUCUAGAAAAAAUUAUGGGUCCCCACCUGCCUUUGACCCAGAGAAUUUUGGCUGGUUUAUUCUCAUAAAAUCUUAAAUUCUGGUUAUGGCUAAGUCCCCAUUUUGCUGAAGUGGGACUGCAGCCUGAUGGUCACCCUGGACAUUAGCUAUCACAGCUUGGGCAAGCACCAGAAAGACCGCUCAAAACUCUACAUGUGACACAUUCUCAUUAAAAGGAUCUGCGGGCUAAGGUGGUUGGUUAUUAUUUCUGCAUGUGUUAGCUCAACGAGGAAGCAUUUUCUGUCACUUAAAAGCAUGAUUUAGAAGCAGAUAGAGACACUGAAUGCAUGAUAGAUUAUAAAAGAAGAGAUGAUUUCCUAAAAUGCUCCAUAGCCUCUUGCUCAUAGAUGUGGCGCGCUUCACAUCGAUGAUCAAGACUCUACGUAAUGCGGCUUGUCUGACUCCCUAGGACUCUAAACCUUAGGAUCUAAUACCGAGUUUGUAACGCCUCAAAAUCUGAUUUUUGGGAUGCCACAUGGUGCUCCAAACUACAAGUAGUCCUGAGCUAACCCUGGAUGCCUUCUACUAAAUUUGAAUCUAAAAAAAAAGGGAAUAUAAAUAUGAGAUCUAAGUAAUCCUCUUGCCAGGGAGUAUAACCUAUCUAAGUGAUCACAUAUCUAUCAUCCACGUAGAAGUAAAAAUAAUCUAAAUCCUACGUUGGCACAUAGUUUUGGGGUAUGAAACCGUAGUAACGUACCCAUCUCGGUGCUAAAUGCUACUCCUAUUAAAUCUGUAUGCUCAUUCUGAUGGAAAUCCACUUUUAAAAUAGUAUAAUGAUUUAUAAUGAAAACCAACUAUAUGUUUGUAAAGCUAAAUCUGUAAUUAGAAUCUAUAAAGUGGAUUUCAUUCUGUUUUGAGACCAUAAGGGGUCAAAUUUUUAACAACAAUCUAAAAAAGAAAUCUAGUCAUAGGGUGCUUAUAACCAACAAAUCUUGAAAGAGCAAUCUUUAAUUAGGCUUUAAUGACUCAUGCAUCAAACUCAUGUUAAAAUAUCAUAAUGUUCAUGCUUGAUAAUGUAAACAUUGAUAAAUAAAUUCAAAAUCUGGAAAUUUCUGCAAUAUGCAUGAAAAUAUGAACAUAAUCAUGUAAUUCAACUUUCAAAUCACUGAAAAUCUCAUAAACUUGUAAAUAAAAUUAAUGGAUAUAAACCCUAACUUGAAUUUCAUGGGAAAUCAUAUAAAAUUCAGUAAAAAUUAGAAUUAAAAUAAGUUUCGGGCACAAGGGCGAAAGGAUUGUCCUUGUUCACAACCCCACAUACCUCAAUUGAUGAACUAGAUGCAAAGGCUUGAAUCUUAGAUCCCCUAUUGAUGCUUUUAAAAUUGAAUAUUUGAAGUUCUUGAGUUGGAAAUCCUUAAUCUUGAAUUACCUUGGAGAAUUAAUGCAGGAAUUGGAUUUCUUGGGGAGUAAGCUUUGAUGAUCUAGAGUUUUGUUUAAGAGUAUUUUGGUGAAAAUGGGUAUAAAAUGCUUAGGAUGGGUUAAAUGAUCUGUUAUUCACGACUUGGGGCUAGAGAAAAAGACCAAGAGUCUCUUUUAAAAUUUUACCCGGAUUGGGAAAAUUCCCAAAAUUGGAAUACGACGCGAUGCGCCGUUAUCGCGGUGGCCUACUGGAAACUACCAAAUGGGUUCGGGAAAAUCACCGCAAUGCGUAGCUAUCAUGGUACACUUCUGUAUUGCCAUUUUGGAUACCCCCGCGAUGCGCCAUUAUCGUGAAGGCUCACUAGAAAGUGACAAUUGUGAAAUGGGACAUCACCGCGAUGCGGUGGAAUCGCAAAAUCUCACUGAAAAUUGACAACUGUCAUUUAACUAUCUCCAUGAUGCACUAGUGACCGAAAUGACGAUGUUUUAUGACUGAAAUUUAAAAUCGUUGUAACUUCUCAUCCGGUUAUCGGAUUAAGGCGAAUCUUAUAUCUUUGGAAAGCUAAUUCAAAUUCUUACACAUUGGAGGGUCUAAAUCUAGAAAAUUCUAUAUGUAUGAAAAUUCAUUCAUCUUGACAUUCUCAAUGCUAAAUUAAACUAUGAAAAGUAUGGGGUGUUACAAUAUCUCCCCUUUGAUAAUAUUCAUCCUCGAAUGUGGCUAGUUCGACUAAGGACACUGAUGAAUCUAAGGUUAUAUAGUAGCAUGCACAACUGAAACAAAUUGCAUAACUAAUUCUAAAUUAUACUAAGCUUCUAAGCUAAUCUGUGAGAGCAUGAAUUUUCAAUGAGGACGAUUAUAUAGCUGAAUCUGAAACUGGAAAGAUACUAAAUUAAGGAAGAGUAUAACCUUCGAUUGAAUCUUAUUUUGCGGAGAAGAGGUGAGGGUACUUCGCUCGCAUAUCUGCUUCUAUUUCCCAAGUGGCGUCCUCAACAAAAUAAUAUUUCCAAAGAACUUUGACCAAGAAAACUUCUUUGUUCCUUAGUCUACGGAUCUGAUGAUCUAAAAUCUCAACUGGAAUCUCUUCGUAAGAAAGGUUGUUCUGAAUAUCUGAGCUUUCUAAAGGAACUAUAACAGGGGAGUCACCGAUGUACCUUUAAGCAUAGUGAUAUGGAAUACAGGAUGAAUGAACGACAAGUCUGCGGGCAAAUCAAGCUCAUAAGCUACUUUCCCAACACGACUCACUGUUGUGUAAGGGCAAACAUACCGGGGACUAAGCUUCCUCUUUUUGCCAAAUCUCCUCACCCCUUUCAUAGAUCUUCAGAUACACUAAAUCACCAACCUCAAACUCGAGGUCCUUUAUUCUCACAUCUGCAUAUGAUUUUUGACGACUCUUGGCUAUUUUCAAUCUGUCUCUAAUCAAUUGAACCUUCUCCAUAGCUUCAAACACUACGUCAGGUAGGGGUGUUCAUGGGUCGGUUUGGAUUGAUUAUUGGUCAAAACCAUAACCAAACCAACAUAGUCGAUUUUUAAAUUUCUAAAGCCAAACCAAACCAAGACAAAAAAAUAAUCGUCAGUUUGGUUCUUGUCGAAUUAGUUCGGUUCGGUUUAGUUUUUCGGUUUAUAACUUUAGUUAAUGAUAAAAGUUGAAAUUUUUCUUAAAAAAUCCAAUCUAACAUAUGAGAUGUCAACCGAGUGUUGUUCCUCAACCUUGAAACUAAGAUGUCAAUUUGGUGUUAUACUUAGGCAAAGCCAUGAAUAACACCAUAUGAAUGCUUCUACAAAAGUAUUUAGAAACUACAUAUAAGAGAAUAAUAUGAUAAACCCCCCAAAAGCUAAACACAUAAAUUUUUUGCUCAAUAGGGACCAAAAAGAAAGUUCAAAACUAGUGAUUAUCGAUAGUCUAAUAAAACUCACCUAUAAAAUCCGAUAGACAACAAGAUAAUUUUCACAAUUAGUAUUAUUUGCCAUUCAAAGUGUGAAAAUCAUAUACAAACUCAUAACGUACAUCAACUAGAUGGAGACAUAUGACUAAAGUUAAAUUCAUGAUUAAAACUUAAAAUAUAAAUAAUAUUUAUAUUUUAUUUAUGAAUAAUAUAUAAAUAAUUUAUAUAUGCAUAUGUAUUUGUGUGUGUAUACAUAUAUAUACAUAUAUAUGUAUAUAUAUAUAUAUAAAUUAUCAGUUCGGUUUGGUUAUUUUAUCGAUUAUUUUAGAGUAAAAUCAAACCAAACCAAAUUANNNNNNNNNNNNNNNNNNNNNNNNNNNNNNNNNNNNNNNNNNNNNNNNNNNNNNNNNNNNNNUAUCGAUUUUAAAAAUUUAAAACCAAACCAAACCAAAUCUAACCAAAUGUCAGUUUUUGUAAUUGGUUUGAUUUUGUUCAUGGUUCGAUUUGGUUUUUAACCAAACCAUGAACAUCCAUAGCACUAGGCCCAAGCAAAGCGGCCUCACCCACUUCAAACUAACCUAUGGGUGAUCUACAUAUCCUUCCAUAAAGGGCCUCAAACGGGGCCAUCUGUAUGCUAGAAUGGUAACUGUUAUUAUAAGGGAAAUCAAUCAAUAGCAAAUACUCAUCCCAAGUACCUUUGAAAUCAAGGGCACAUUCUCUCAACAUAUCUUCUAGAGUUUGGAUGGUCCUCUCUGCUUGACCAUCUGUCUGAGGGUGGAAAGUUAAACUAAGAUAUACUUGGGUACCAAAACCCUCCUGAAAGGCUCUCCAAAACUGGGAAGUGAACUGAGUACCUCUAUCUGAAAUGAUAGACAAGGGAACUCCAUACAGUCUGACUAACUCUUGAUGUACAACUUAGCAUAAUCUUCAGUUGUGUAAGAUGUGUGAACUGGCAAGAAAUUCGCUGACUUAGUCAAUUUCUCUACAAUAACCUAAAUCGAAUCAUGUUGAAGAUACGAAUAGGGUAAACCAGUCACAAAAGCCAUAUUUACCUCCUCCCACUUUCAAAUGGGGAUACCAAACUUUUGUAACAUACCUCCAGGUCUUUGGUUCUCUACCUUAACCUGUUGACAAGUUGCAUACUUUACUACAAACUCUGCUAUAUCUUUCUUCAUACCACUCCACCAAUAGAUUUCCUGCAAAUCGCGGUACAUCUUGGUAGCACCUGGAUGAAUAAAAUAACGCACACCAUGCACUUCCACCAUAAUCCGCUGUCUCAGAUCAUCAACACAUGGCACAGACAAUUUACUCUGGUAUCUCAACACGCCAUCUCCCCUUGGGAGAAAGUAUUUACCUUUUGGUCUUUAACUGACUCCUUCACUUUAGCCAAAAUAGAAUCCUUGUCUUGCUUCUCCUUCACUUCCAAAACUAGGGAAGAUUCGGAACUACUCUGAACCCAAACAUUUCCUUCAGCUGAAUCAACCAACCUAACACCCAAUCUAGACAAAUGAUGAACUUCUUGAGCUAACUCUUUCUUAUCACUCUCCACAUGAGCAACAUUGCCAAUAGACAAUCUACUAAGGGUGUCUGCCACUACAUUGGCCUGCCCAGAUGGUACAACAUACUCAUGUCAUAAUAUUUCAACAAUUCUAACCACCUUCUCUGAUAGAGAUUCAAAUCUCUUUGGUAAACACAUACUGCAAACUUUUGUAAUCCGUGAACAAAUCAACAUGCACCCCAUAUAAAUAAUAUCUCUAGAUUUUUAAAGCAAACACAACAACAGCUAAUUCAAGAUCAUGGGUUGGGCAAUUUUUUUCACUAGGCUUAAGCUGUCUAGAGGCAUAGGCUAUGACCUUACCUCUGUGCAUCAGAAUACAACCCAAACCAACUCUAGAGGCAUCACAAUACACCACAAAAUCAUCUGUACCAUCAGGUAAUGCUAAUACUGGGCUGAAGUGAGUCGAGUCUUCAACUCCUGAAAACUCUUCUCGCAGAAAUCUAACCACAGGAACUUAACUUUCUUUGGGGUCAAUAUAGACAUAGGGGAUGCAAUAGACAAGAAACCCUCAACAAAACGUCUAUAAUAUCCAGCUAAACCCAAGAAACUCCUAAUGUCUGGCGGAGAAAUAGGUCUAGGCAAAUUUCUUAUGGCUUUUGUCUUUUUGGGAUCAACUCUAAUGCCAUCGGCUGAAAUAAUAUGAUCGACAAAGGCUACUGAUCUUAGCCAAAAUUCACACUUGCUGAAUUUGGUGAACAAUUGAUGAUCUCUAAGAGUUUGCAAGACAAUUCUAAGAUGAUCUACUUGGUCAUCCUCAUUAUGGGAGUACACAAGGAUAUCAUUUAUGAAUACUAUGACAAAUAUGUUUAUAUACUAUUUGAACACUCGGUUCAUGAGGUCUAUAAAAGCUGUUGGGGCAUUGGUUAGACCGAAAGACAUGACUAGAAACUCAAAAUGACCAUAGAGUUCUGAAAGCUGUCUUUGUAAUAUCACAUUCUCUUACUUUAACCUAAUGAUAGCCGGAUCUAAGGUCUAUCUUCGAGAAAUAACAUGCACCUUGGAGUUGAUCAAAUGGGUCAUCAAUUCUAGGAAGAGGGUAUUUGGUCUUGACUGUGACCUUAUUUAGCUGACGAUAGUCAAUGCACAUUCACAAAGAACCAUCUUUCUUUCGCACGAAUUGGACGGGCGCACCCCAUGGAGAAACACUAGGCCUUAUGAAACCUUUAUCUAAAAGAUCUUUGAGUUGCUCUUUCAACUCCUUAAGCUCUGCGGGAGCCAUAUGAUAUGGAGGGAUAAAAAUAGGUUGAGUAUCUAGGAAAAGGCCAAUACCAAAUUCUAUUUCCCUAUCGAGAGGUACCCCUGCAAAUUUUUGGAAAAGACAUUAGGAAACUCACUGACUACACUGACUGACUGAAUUGUUGGAGUCUUCGACUUAGUGUCUUUAACUCGAAUAAGAUGAUAGAUACACCCUUUAGAGAUUAACUUUCUAGAUUUAAGAUAAGAUGUGAAAUGGCUUUUGGGAGACACUGAAUUUUCUUUCCACUUAAAGACUGGAUCAUCUGGAAACUGAAACUUCACCACUCUGGUGUAACAAUCUAUAGAUGCAUAAUAGGAAUGGAGCCAAUCCAUACCAAGAAUAAGAUUAAAAUCAACUAUAUCUAACUCUAUUAGGUCUGCUAACAUAAUUUUAUGAAGGACAGUGAUAGGACACUUUCUGUUAAUCUGCUUGGCAACAACUGACUCACCUACUGGGGUAAAUCAAGAAAGGCUCAGGGAUCUUUUUAGAACUUACCUCAAAAUUUAUUGUAACUAAUGGGGUCACGUAAGAGAAAAUCGACCCAGGGUCUAGCAACACAUAAAUAUCAAAAUGAAAAACAUGAAGCAUAUCAGUAAUAAUAUCUAGUGAAUCUUUCUACUCCUGGCGAGAUGGUAAAACAUAGAACCUAUUUUGGCACUAACCGUUACCGGUACUAGAUAAUGCACCCUGAGGAGAGGCUGGGUGACCUAGAGUGCUUGGUACACUAUUAACCUAAGUUUUAGGACGAACAUCUCUAUUUCCCUGUCUAGUAUGCUGGCACUCUUUAACCCCGUGACCCAACUGGCCACAACCAUAACAACCUUUUUUACCCCACAAAUAUUCACCUGCAUGAUUCUUACCACACUUAACACAUGGGGGAUGAUUGGGCUUCCUACUCACACUAUUUUGAGAUCUGGACAUAGACGAUCUACCCCAUUACUCCUGUCUGUUCCUGAGUGUGGGGGCACUGGCUGAAGAAGGUGCAGGCAUAGAUGGCCAAUUCUGAAACUGUGAACGAUUUUCUCCUGCAAACCUAUUCUGACCGUAAUCAAAUUACCCUAUCCUAGCUUUUUUGUUUCCCCUCUCUCUACCCUUCAACUUCUCUGCCUCUAUCUGUUGGGCAUAAAUCAUCAACUUAGCAAGAUUUAUGUCCCUAAUAAAUAUGUCAGUCCUACACUCCUUAACUACCAACCCAGACACACCAGUCACAAACUUACUCAUGCUUGACCUAGGGUCAACCAUCUGACCAGAGGCAUACUUAGACAACUGGUUGAACUUGAAACAAUACUCCUUCACUAUAAUUGAGCCUUGCCUCAGGUUUAUAAACUCUUUUAUCUUGGCUUUCCUCAUCUCACAUGGAAAGAACUUAUCUAGAAAUGCAUUCUGAACUACCUGCCAUGACAUGGGAGUUGCAUUCUCCCCUUUACUUUUCUUCCACAUCACUACCCAAUUAUAUGCAACAUCCUUCAGCCUAUAGUAUGCCAACUCUACACUCUCCUCAUCAGAAAUAUGCAUAAUAUGGGUGAUCUUCUUCACUUCAUCUAGAAAAAAUUAUGGGUCCCCACCUGCCUUUGACCCAAAGAAUUUCGACUGGUUUAUUCUCAAAGAAUUCUGGCUGGUUCAUUCUCAUAAAAUUUUAAAUUCUGGUUGUGGCUAAGUCCCCAUUUUGCUAAAGUUGGACUGCAGCCUGAUGGUCGCCCCGGACAUUAGCUAUCACAGCUUGGGCUAGCACCUGAAAGACAGCUCAAAACUCUACAUGUGACACAUUCUCAUUAAAAGGAUCUGCGGGCUAAGGUGGUUGGUUAUUAUUUCUGCAUGCGUUAGCUCAACGAGGAAGCAUUUUCUGUCACUUAAAAGCACAAUUUAGAAGCAGAUAGAGACACUAAAUGCAUGAUAGAUCAUAAAAGAAGAGAUGAUUUCCUAAAAUGCUCCAUAGCUUCUUGCUCAUAGAUGUGGUGCGCUUCACAUUGUUGAUCAAGACUCUACGUAAUGCGGCUUGUUUGACUUCCUAGGACUCUAAACCUUAGGCUCUAAUACCGAGUUUGUAACGCCUCAAAAUCUGAUUUUUGGGAUGCCACAUGGUGCUCCAAACUACAAGUAGUCCUGAGCUAACCCUGGAUGCCUUCUACUAAAUUUGAAUCUAAAAAAAAGGGAAUAUAAAUAUGAGAUCUAAGUAAUCCUCUUGCCAGGGAGUAUAACCUAUCUAAGUGAUCACAUAUCUAUCAUUCACGUAGAAUUGAAAACAAUCUAAAUCCUACGUUGGCACAUAGUUCUGGGGUAUGAAACCGUAGUAACGUACCCAUCUCGGUGCUAAAUGCUACUCCUAUUAAAUCUGUAUGCUCAUUCUGAUGGAAAUCCACUUUUAAAAUAGUAUAAUGAUUUAUAAUGAAAACCAACUAUAUGUCUGUAAAGCUAAAUCUGUAAUUAGAAUCUGUAAAGUGGAUUUCAUUCUAUUUUGAGACCAAAAAGGGUCAAAUCUUUAACAACAAUCUAAAAAAAGAAAUCUAGUCAUAGGGUGCUUAUAACCAAUAAAUCUUGAAAGAGCAAUCUUUAAGUAGGCUUUAAUGACCCAUGCAUCAAACUCAUGUUAAAAUAUCAUAAUGUUCAUGCUUGAUAGUGUAAACAUUGAUAAAUAAAUUCAAAAUCUGGAAAUUUCUGCAAUAUGCAUAAAAAUAUGAACAUAAUCAUGUAAUUCAAUUUUCAAAUCACUGAAAAUCUCAUAAACUUUUAAAUAACAAUAAUGGGUAUAAACCCUAACUUGAAUUUCAUGGGAAAUCAUAUAAAAUUCAGUAAAAAUUAGAAUUAAAAUAAGUUUUGGGCACAAGGGCGAAAGGAUUGUCCUUGUUCAUAACCCCACAUACCUCAAUUGAUGAACUAGAUGCUAAGACUUGAAUCUUGGAUCCCUGUUGAUGCUUUUAAAGUUGAAUUUUUAAAGUUCUUGAGUUGGGAAUCCUCAAUCUUGAAUUGCCUUGGAGAAUUAAUGGAGGAAUUGGAUUUCCUUGGGAGUAAGCUUUGAUGAUCUAGGGUUUUGUUUAAGAGUGUUUUGGCGAAAAUGGGUAUAAUAUGCUUAGGAUAAGUUAAAUGAUCUAUUAUUCACGACUUGGGGCUAGAGAAAAAGACCAAAGAGCCCCUUUUAAAAUUUUACCCGGAUUGGGAAAAUUCCCAAAAUUGGCCUACGGCUCGACACAUCAUUAUCGCAGUGGCCUACUGAAAACUACCAACUGGGGCCUGGAAAAUCACCGUGACGUGGAGCUAUCACAGUACGCUUCUGGAUUGCCAUUUUGGCCACCUCCGCGAUGCGCCAGAGGCUCACGAGAAAGUGACAAUUGUGAAAUAGGACAUCACCGCGAUGCUAUGGAAUCGCAAAAUCUCAUUGGAAAUUGAAAACUGUCAUUUAAACUGUCUCUGCGACGCGCUAGUGACCGAAAUGAUGGUGUUUUACGACUGGAACUUAAAAUCGUCAUAACUUCUCAUUCGAUUAUCGGAUUAAGGUGAAUCUUAUAUCAUUGGAAAGCUAAUUCAAAUUCCUACACAUUGGUGGGUCAAAAUCUGGAAAAUUCUAUAUGUAUGAAAAGUCAUUCUCUCUUAAAGCCGAUGUUUGAUAUUCUCAACGCUAAAUUGCACUAGGAAAAGUACGGGGUGUUACACAUAGCGACCAUAUAUGAUACUAUGAGGUACAUGGAAAUCAUCUAAGUACAAUGUACACAUGUAUUAUGGAGAGCGAAGGGUAAUCUAGUGUAAGAAGUACACUACAACAUAAGUCAUAGCUAUACAUGACUUAUGUUGUAGUGUACUUCAUAGCUAAAUGUGAAAAUUUUCGUGGCUAAACACUUUAGCUACAUUUUUUUUGUAGCAUUCGUAGAAAAAAACAGUGUAACUAAAGGUUAGCUACAGAAUUUACAUGGACAGUGGCUAACAACUAAUAAUUAUAGCCACAAAUUUUUUAUGUUGUAACAGUAUAGCGAAAUGUUCUUGCCAUGGAACAUACACUUUUAGCAAGUGAUUUUAUUCUUUUUCCAUGACGAAUAAUAUUAGUAGCAACAUUCAAAUUGUAUCCACAAGACAUUAUAUUAUAGCAAAAAGAAUUAUUUUAUUUGCCACACAAAUUUAAAUUUUAUAGCUUAGUCUCUUGAAAAUAAAACUCCUACUUAGUUAUGAAUAAAAUAAUCAUAGAUAUAAAUUAAAGCAUUUUCCGCAAACAUAUUCAUAUUGUAGCUAAGAAUUCAUAUCUUUAGCUAUGAAAUAUAUAAAAUGUAGUAGUUUUUUUUAUUUGAUACAAAGGUAAAAAAAUUAUAGCCAUGUUUUUAAUACGUAGCAGUUAUAGAAUAUAUUUAACUACAAAUUUAAAAGUGCAUAGCUAAAAUCUUAUACUUUUUGUAACGAAAAAUAAAAUAGUAGCAAAACAUUAUCUUUAUUUGCUAUGAAAACGAACAAGUGUAGCUAUACAUUAGCAAUUGUAUUUAUAUUUAGCUAUGAAUUUCAAAUAAACUAUAGCUACUAAUUGAAAUUAUUUCACGAAUAUUAUUUGCCACGAUAAUUCAUAAAACGUAAUUUGACAUUAAUUUAUAAAUAAUAUAAUAGAAUAUAUUAUUCAAUUAUCUAAUAAAUUUAAAAGAAAAACAUUGAAACUGUCUAAUAGAUUAUCAAUGAUAUUGUUCCAAAAUUGUAAAAGAUUUUGCAAGAAAAUAUAAUCAUGGGCCUUCAUUGAUUUGAUAUUUCCAUCACUCCUCCAUACCAUGCAAUGACUAUUGACCUCAAGUUGCAAACAUCCUUUGAAAUCUUUCUUCCCAUCGUUUAUCCAAUUCUGCUAUUUUAUCCUCCAUUUCUUUCUUCAUUUCUUCAGAUUCUUCUUUAGCUUCCCAUUUGGCUUUUUUCACACGCUCAUUUGAUUCCUUUCUAAUUGAUUCUACUUGUUUUAUGAGUUGUACCUUUGUCGAACUUCCACCAAAAUAUUCACUGAUACUUUUUCCUGGUCCAUAUACACGAAGAUAUCCAUUUUUUCAGUUUCAAACACCUUUUCAAAAAUAUCAUCAUCAUUUAAGGAAAUUUCUCCUUCUUUUUGCUCCUUUUUGUAUUGUUCUAAUUGAUCCUGCAAUUAAAAAAAUAUUAAUUAAAUAUUUAUAUAAAUAUAUAUUCUAAAAGAAGAUGAAAUGAAAAGCAAAACUAAAACAUACAAGAACAUCUUGUUGAAAAGUAUUGAUUUUUUUUUUCAUUUUUUCUCUUGCGCUAUUAAAUAAAGACUUCAACGCGAGAAGGAGCUUUUCUAUUUUUCUUCUAUAAAAAUAAAAGAUAUUAUUUUAAUUAGAUAAGAUAUAUGAAUAGAAGUAUUGUAAAUACAUUCUAAAUAUCAUUACUCCAUAAUACCAUUUCAUUUCUAAGUCCUGCAUAAUUUUUACUCCCACAAUAAGGAGGCAAGGAACGGCUCGAUCGAUUUGUCUUGUUCUGCAUAAUUUUCUUCUGAAUAAAAUUGAAAGUGAAAAAUGAAAAACUUUUCUGCUAAUAUAAAUAACAAUAAAUAAAUUUAAAUACCUAAAAGUUAGCAUCACUCCAAAGAUUGACCAAAUAUUUCCAGUCGUCUGCGACGACACGUUCAGGCUUAUUGCGUGAGCGAAGUUGGUAAGUUGUUUUUGUAUCGAAAUACUUUUGUUUCAUCCUGUGUCUAUAAUCUCUAUAGAGAUAAUUCAUAUGGACCAAAAUUGCACCUUUUCUUUCCUCAAACACAUCAAAGUUAAACUUCUCCUAUAAAAAAAAAAUACAACAUACCGCUAUAAUUUAUAAUCAUAUUUCUUGAUAAUUGUUAGUUCACAAAAAUUAAAGACAAUAAUAUUUUCAAUAUAUUCCUGCAAAACAGGGUCUGAAAAAGCUAAGCAUACGCAAUUCAUAUCACUAUCUGAAAAUAAAAUAGAUAGACUGUUUCGAUAGACCCCGUCAAAGAGAAAAGGGAAGGAGGAAUAUGAAAAAAGGAGAGAUAAGCAUAUGCAAUUCUUACUAAAGACUUCAACCUGAGGAUAAAAAACAUGUAAAAUAGAAUAGACAAAGACAUGCACUAACCAAACUAAAUAUCCUAAAAGUAAAAAUCGAUAACACAAGAUUGUCCAUGCACUAACUCAAGGAUAGAAAAAUAGUAAAAGAUGUCAACAUUUGUAUAGUUCACACCACUUUUGAUGUUAGGUGUUAUAUAUAAUACAAAAGUAACAAGUUAUAUAUGUAAUACAAAAAGUAACUAGAAAAGAAAAAGUAUCACAACUUUCAAUUUGAUAGUCAAUGUCGACAGUUAGUUAACUAGGGGUGGAGGGGGUUGAUUAAAUACAUUUUUUAAUCAUUCAAGUACUUAAAGAGUUCUUUUUCUUUUUCAGUUCUUCUUACACUUACGGUAUACAUUAAUUUUACACAAUCAAGUAAAAUAGAUACACGUAAACACUCAAAAAAUUGUCAUUAAUAACCUGUUGGAAGUAAAACAAAUCUGCUAUAAGACCUAAAAAUAUUUUGAUAGUAAAGACUUCAAUCUGAAGAUCGAAACUGUAACGACCUAAAUAUUUGAUGAAAUAUGUAAAUUUUGCGGUUUUGUGUGAUUUGACUAUUUUACCUCUCCCUAUAGUUGCAUUAUGAUAGUUCUUGGGUUUGGGAGUGAUUGGCAUGAUUUUUGAUGCAUUUUGGUACAUUUAUACAAUAUUGUGGUUUUUUAUGGUUUGGAGAGCCUUAUUUUGGACUUAUGUGGAUAUCUUUUGAUCUGUGCGACGGAUAGCUGAACGGACUAUGUCAAAAGCUCUAGAAUAUUGAUUUUAGGCUAGGUAGACCUUUGGCUCGGGUCCUGUGCACCUGAGCUCAUUUCGAUUUAUUUGUCGGAAAGUUGAAAAAUUGGAAAUAUGGGUGUGGGACCCAUAUUUGAUCGAAACGACUUCGGAUGGAAAAUCCGACUUCUCCUGCAGAUCCAAAAUAUCAAUUUUAGAGUGUUAGCAUAUUUGGUAUGAUUUUACGAUUUUUAAAUAUCAUUUCAAUGCUCGAUUUUGAAAAUUAUAAUUUCAGAUGUCGGGGGUCAACUUUGCGAAAAUGGUAAUUUUUUUAAAAAUCUGAUUUUGCCAACGCAUUCGGAACGUCGAAUUUAGUAUGGUUACAUAGUUUGUUUGCAUGUAUCGAACACCAAACAAAUUUCGGACACCCCGUUGAAGUUCGGAGUGGACUUUAAAAUUAAAAAAACUGCAACUUUCUUCUCUUUUAAUUGCUGGUGCAGAUUUUUGUUGCACCAUUAAACCAAUUUUAGGCCCAUCUUUCUUCACUCUUCAUCUCUCCUCUUGAGAAUUAAAUCCUAAAAUAGUGUGGGAGCUUAAAAGUGAAGCUUGUAGGAGCUUGGGAAGAUAUAUUAAAAUUCAUUUCUUGAUUUUAUUAAAGAUUUAAGGUAAGAAAUCAUCCAUUUUCUUAGAAAUUUCUUGAUUAAUUUUUUAAAAACGCCCAAAAAAUCUUAGGGCCUGGUUUUAAACCCCAAUUUUACUUCUUUUCACAUGAAUAGUAUUUUUAUCUUAUAAUUACUAGUUUUUCAUCAAUUUAACCUUCAAAACAACUCCGAUUCUUGAUUUUAACCCUGAUUUCAAAGAUUUUGCCCGGAAAAGCUCAAAAAUAUUUUUUUUUAUUUGAAUCCCAUUUUUUACUUGAUUUAACUUGGGUUUUCAGUUGUAGUUCCUAAAAAUAUGGGGAACAUAUUUUUGAAGUAAAGUUUUGAUUUUACCCUUUUUUCGAAAACCUAUUUUGGGGGUCCGUUUUGAACCAUGAACAAAAAAUAGUCAAUAUGGGCAUUGUUGGUUUUGUUUUGGCGCAUAGAUUUCAUAUUUGAUGUUUUUAGUGAAGUUCGGAAUUGUUCUUAAAAAUUAAGAUCGCGAAUUCAAGUUUAAUGGAUCAGUUUUGGCUUUCGAGGUAGUUUAUGGCUUAACUCUUUCAGACUGGAUUGGAUAGUAAAUGAUGAUACAAAAUUCAUGUUAAGGGUGGAAACUAAUCAUGAAAAUGACUAUUUAUGUGUUAUGCCCAUGUGGGGGCCUAUAUGUGAUGUAAUUGUCAAAAUUGAGUUAUUAUGUGAUAUGUGUGGCCGUGUGGGGUCCUAUGUGAUAUUAAUAGCCUUGAAUACAUGUGAAUAAUUGUAUUGUGUGGUUAAAAUUCUUAAUGUGGUACCAUUGGUGUAUUGUGAUUAUAUUCAUACUUUAUUGGCAUAUGAGACAUGUGGAAAUUCUUGGAUGAAACGAAAAUAAUGAGUGGAUAUUGGCUCAUGUGGUUGUGAAAAUGUAUCAUUAUGGUUGGUUGUGAAAAUAUAUCAUGUGGUUGGUUGUGGAAAUACUCAUUGUGAUUGGUUGUGAGCAUUACAUCUUCAUAUCAUACUCAUUCAUGAAACAUUGGCACCACCGUGACAACAUCUGAGAAACACUGGCAACGUCUUUUUAAAAGAUAAUGUAACACCUGAUAAAACCCUUUUCGAGGGAUGUGUAAAAAAGGAUAUAUGAGAUAUGUGGAUUAUAUACGGUUGACGAACCCCCCAUGGGUCCUACGUCGGGAAGCUUUAGCUCCAAAAGUGUAUACGGGGAUUGUGCGAUGAUCCCGGAGGUUGUGCGAUGACCUCGUGCAUCAUCAUCAUAUACAUUGCACUUACUUUAUUGUGUUUAUGUUGUGUUGUAUUGCCUUAUUGACUUGUCAUCUAUGUAAUUGUCUUACUUUCCUUUACUUGUAUUUGAUAAUCUUGUAUCUACAUAUUCUCUCUUGUUCUAUUUAUAUGUGACAUAAUGUAUACUCGUGUUCUAUAUUUUGGUGUGUUGUUGUAAUAUAUGUGAGAUAUAUUAGAACUGUUAGUGCAAGCGGUGUGGGCUACCAUUGUGGGAUACUUUCUAAUUGCUGGUGGCGUGUCCUUAGUGUAUAUUUUGUAUGCUUUAUUUACUACUGUGCUUGUGCAUCCUAUGAUACCUACUGAGUACAAAUGGACCGUACUCAUGCCUACUGCGCCCUUUCGGUGCAGGUUCUAGCUCGAGUGUGCCUUAGCUUGAUUGACUCGGGCGAUUGUUGGAGCUUCCAAGGUAGCGGUUGGACAUUUAUGCGUUCGAAGUUCACCUCUAUCUUUGUAUAGCAGUUAUGUCUUUAUUAGUAUUCGG